This is a non-coding RNA of Nitrospirae bacterium GWC2_57_9, 100 nucleotides long. NCBI's taxonomy places the organism in Bacteria, Pseudomonadati, Nitrospirota. The record is from Rfam.
GCCCGGGUCCUGCGCAACCGCGGUCCCGUGAACCCCGUCAGGUCCGGAAGGAAGCAGCGGUAAACGGGUUCCGGGUGUGCCGCAGGGUAGCCCGGGUUUG